UACCAGCUCUCCGAGUGGUGUGGAUGUUUAUUGGGCCUAAAGCAUCCGUAGCUGGCCAAGUUAGUCCCCUGUUAAAUCCACCGAAUUAAUCGUUGGAGUGCGGGGGAUACUGCUCGGCUAGGGGACGAGAGAGGCCGACGGUAUUUUCGGGGUAGGGGCGAAAUCCUAUAAUCCCGGGAAGACCACCAGUGGCGAAGGCUGUCGGCUAGAACGCGCCCGACGGUGAGGGAUGAAAGCUGGGGGAGCGAACCGGAUUAGAUACCCGGGUAGUCCCAGCUGUAAACGAUGCAGGCUAGGUGUUUGGGCGGCCACGGGCCGCUCUAGUGCCGCAGGGAAGCUGUUAAGCCUGCCGCCUGGGGAGUACGGCCGCAAGGCUGAAACUUAAGGAAUUGGCGGGGGAGCACCACAAGGGGUGAAGCUUGCGGUUU
RNAcentral lists this ribosomal RNA (428 nucleotides) under uncultured archaeon. RNAcentral's name for it is "bacterial SSU rRNA". It matches the Rfam family "Archaeal small subunit ribosomal RNA", at positions 474 to 903 of the family's 1478-position model. The record is from RNAcentral.